AGCGAACGCUGGCGGCAGCCCUAACACAUGCAAGUCGAACGAAGUCUUCGGACUUAGUGGCGGACGGGUGAGUAACACGUGGGAACGUGCCUUUAGGUUCGGAAUAACUCAGGGAAACUUGUGCUAAUACCGAAUGUGCCCUUCGGGGGAAAGAUUUAUCGCCUUUAGAGCGGCCCGCGUCUGAUUAGCUAGUUGGUGAGGUAAAGGCUCACCAAGGCGACGAUCAGUAGUGGGUCUGAGAGGAUGAUCAGCCACACUGGGACUGAGACACGGCCCAAACUGCUUGGGGAGGCAGCUGUGGGGAAUCUUGCGAAAUGGGCGAAAUCCUGACGCAGCCAUGCCGCGUGAAUGAUGAAGGUCUGAGGAGUGUAAAAUUCUUUCACCGGGGACGAUAAUGACGGUACCCGGAGAAGAAGCCCCGGCUAACUUCGUGCCAGCCGCCGCCGUAA
RNAcentral lists this ribosomal RNA (449 nucleotides) under uncultured bacterium. Its description in RNAcentral is "partial 16S ribosomal RNA". It matches the Rfam family "Bacterial small subunit ribosomal RNA", at positions 29 to 523 of the family's 1533-position model. The record is from RNAcentral.